Molecule: transfer RNA, 126 nt
Filed under: Salinibacter ruber
Lineage: Bacteria; Pseudomonadati; Rhodothermota; Rhodothermia; Rhodothermales; Salinibacteraceae
Description: tRNA-Ser
Rfam family: tRNA (bases 65-126)
Source: RNAcentral
GCGGUGGUAAAGUGGUGGAAAGAUAAUUCCGAAAAGCGCCCCUCAGCGCCCACAGGCGCCGAAAACGACCGUGUUUUAAUCUGCUUGCCAUGCAGAAGGUCGUGGGUUCGAAUCCCAUCGCCCGCU